RNAcentral lists this long non-coding RNA (534 nucleotides) under Elaeis guineensis (African oil palm). RNAcentral describes it as "long non-coding RNA (EGUI_LNC009016)". Lineage: Eukaryota; Viridiplantae; Streptophyta; Magnoliopsida; Arecales; Arecaceae. The record is from RNAcentral.
UUUCUUUUGAUUUUUCACAUUCAAGCUAAUUCUUUCUUUUCUUUUCCUUUCUCGUGUCAUUUCUCCCCCUUUUUGUCAUUAUUAAAAUGAGUAAAAGAUAAGUUUGUACGAAGAAGAAUAUAAGCAGAACAAACAAUAAGGCAAAUUGAGAAGACAACAUUCAUUGAUCAAAAGUUCAUACAAUAUAUUUUCAUUAGUAAUAUCAUUCAUUUACAAAAGAUAAGUAGAAACAUAACAUAGAUAUCUAUAGUCAAUUCAAGAUAACAAAAGAGGAUGGCUAGGAUAGGGAUCGCUGAGGCUCUAGAGAAAAAAUCCUAGCAUCUUAAAGAUGUAAGAGAAGAGGGGAUGGCUCCAAAGUGGAACGUCCAAGUUGGGCUGGUGAUGAGGUCUCUCUACUCUUCUCAGGCAAGUAGAUUGACUAAUCACGAGCACCACUAAAUAUGUGAAUUAAGGUAUCCUAUCGAUCUCUUAUGCUCUUAGUAGCAAAUCAUUGAAGCUCUACUAAUACAGAAGACAUCACACUAGUGGUUACAC